GCCGAUGUAGCUCAGUUGGUCAGAGCAGCUGAUUUGUAAUCAGCAGGUCGUGGGUUCGAAUCCCUCUAUCGGCUC
This 75-nucleotide transfer RNA is filed under the name Bacteroidetes bacterium ADurb.Bin013. RNAcentral's name for it is "tRNA-Thr". It matches the Rfam family "tRNA". From Rfam's summary of the family: Transfer RNA (tRNA) molecules are approximately 80 nucleotides in length. Their secondary structure includes four short double-helical elements and three loops (D, anti-codon, and T loops). The record is from RNAcentral. Lineage: Bacteria; Pseudomonadati; Bacteroidota. RNAcentral also lists the same sequence under 3 other names.